CAGCCGUAAACUAUGCGCGUUAGGUGUAUCGGUGACCACGAGUCACCGAGGUGCCGAAGGGAAACCGUGAAACGUGCCGCCUGGGAAGUACGGUCGCAAGGCUGAAACUUAAAGGAAUUGGCGGGGAGCACAACAACGGGUGGAGCCUGCGGUUUAAUUGGACUCAACGCCGGACAACUCACCGGGACGACAGCAAUAUGUAGGCCAGGCUGAAGACCUUGCCUGAAUCGCUGAGAGGAGGUGCAUGGCGUAGACGUCU
RNAcentral lists this ribosomal RNA (259 nucleotides) under uncultured archaeon. RNAcentral's name for it is "partial 16S ribosomal RNA". It matches the Rfam family "Archaeal small subunit ribosomal RNA", at positions 748 to 1009 of the family's 1478-position model. The record is from RNAcentral.